GUGGGGAAUAUUGCACAAUGGGCGAAAGCCUGAUGCAGCAACGCCGCGUGAGCGAUGAAGGCCUUCGGGUCGUAAAGCUCUGUCCUCAAGGAAGAUAAUGACGGUACUUGAGGAGGAAGCCCCGACUAACUACGUGCCAGCAGCCGCGGUAAUACGUAGGGGGCUAGCGUUAUCCGGAAUUACUGGGCGUAAAGGGUGCGUAGGUGGUUUCUUAAGUCAGAGGUGAAAGGCUACGGCUCAACCGUAGUAAGCCUUUGAAACUGGGAAACUUGAGUGCAGGAGAGGAGAGUGGAAUUCCUAGUGUAGCGGUGAAAUGCGUAGAUAUUAGGAGGAACACCAGUUGCGAAGGCGGCUCUCUGGACUGUAACUGACACUGAGGCACGAAAGCGUGGGGAGCAAACAGGAUUAGAUACCCGAGUAGUCC
This 424-nucleotide ribosomal RNA is filed under the name uncultured bacterium. RNAcentral's name for it is "partial 16S ribosomal RNA". It matches the Rfam family "Bacterial small subunit ribosomal RNA", at positions 354 to 796 of the family's 1533-position model. The record is from RNAcentral.